Molecule: ribosomal RNA, 253 nt
Filed under: uncultured bacterium
Lineage: Bacteria
Description: partial 16S ribosomal RNA
Rfam family: Bacterial small subunit ribosomal RNA
Source: RNAcentral
UACAGAGGGGGCGAGCGUUGUUCGGAAUUACUGGGCGUAAAGGGCGCGUAGGCGGCCUUCUAAGUCGAACGUGAAAUCCCCGGGCUCAACCCGGGAACUGCGUCUGAUACUGGGGGGCUUGAGUGCAAGAGAGGAACGCGGAAUUCCAGGUGUAGCGGUGAAAUGCGUAGAUAUCUGGAGGAACACCGGUGGCGAAGGCGGCGUUCUGGACUGCAACUGACACUGAUGAACGAAAGCCAGGGGAGCAAACGGG